GGGGAUUUAGCUCAGUGGCAUAAGCACCUGCCUUGCAAGCAGGCAGUCUGAGUUUGAUCCCCA
Cavia porcellus (domestic guinea pig) is the source of this 63-nucleotide transfer RNA. It matches the Rfam family "tRNA". Rfam says of the family: Transfer RNA (tRNA) molecules are approximately 80 nucleotides in length. Their secondary structure includes four short double-helical elements and three loops (D, anti-codon, and T loops). Lineage: Eukaryota; Metazoa; Chordata; Mammalia; Rodentia; Caviidae. The record is from Rfam.